GCGUGCCUAAUACAUGCAAGUCGAGCGAACUGAUUAGAAGCUUGCUUCUAUGACGUUAGCGGCGGACGGGUGAGUAACACGUGGGCAACCUGCCUGUAAGACUGGGAUAACUUCGGGAAACCGAAGCUAAUACCGGAUAGGAUCUUCUCCUUCAUGGGAGAUGAUUGAAAGAUGGUUUCGGCUAUCACUUACAGAUGGGCCCGCGGUGCAUUAGCUAGUUGGUGAGGUAACGGCUCACCAAGGCAACGAUGCAUAGCCGACCUGAGAGGGUGAUCGGCCACACUGGGACUGAGACACGGCCCAGACUCCUACGGGAGGCAGCAGUAGGGAAUCUUCCGCAAUGGACGAAAGUCUGACGGAGCAACGCCGCGUGAGUGAUGAAGGCUUUCGGGUCGUAAAACUCUGUUGUUAGGGAAGAACAAGUACAAGAGUAACUGCUUGUACCUUGACGGUACCUAACCAGAAAGCCACGGCUAACUACGUGCCAGCA
RNAcentral lists this ribosomal RNA (490 nucleotides) under Bacillus sp. BAB924. RNAcentral describes it as "bacterial SSU rRNA". It matches the Rfam family "Bacterial small subunit ribosomal RNA", at positions 42 to 513 of the family's 1533-position model. The record is from RNAcentral. Lineage: Bacteria; Bacillati; Bacillota; Bacilli; Caryophanales; Bacillaceae.